Podarcis lilfordi (Lilford's wall lizard) is the source of this 73-nucleotide non-coding RNA. NCBI's taxonomy places the organism in Eukaryota, Metazoa, Chordata, Lepidosauria, Squamata, Lacertidae. The record is from the annotation of a GenBank genome assembly.
UCCUGGAUAGCUCGGUUGGUUGCACCAUGGUGCUCAUAACGCCAAGGUUGCAGGUUCGAUCCCCGUAUGGGAU